Molecule: ribosomal RNA, 443 nt
Filed under: uncultured bacterium
Lineage: Bacteria
Description: partial 16S ribosomal RNA
Rfam family: Bacterial small subunit ribosomal RNA
Source: RNAcentral
CCUACGGGUGGCAGCAGUGGGGAAUAUUGGACAAUGGGGGGAACCCUGAUCCAGCGACGCCGCGUGAGUGAAGAAGUAUUUCGGUAUGUAAAGCUCUAUCAGCAGGGAAGAAAGAAAUGACGGUACCUGACUAAGAAGCCCCGGCUAACUACGUGCCAGCCGCCGCGGUAAUACGUAGGGGGCAAGCGGUAUCCGGAUUUACGGGGUGUAAAGGGAGCGUAGACGGCGAUGGUAGGCUGAAGGUAAAGGCGGGGGCCCAAACCCCGGACUGCUUUGGAAACUGGAUGGCUGGAGUGCAGGAGAGGUAAGUGGAAUGCGUAGUGUAGCGGUGAAAUGCGUAGAUAUUAGGAGGAACACCAGUGGCGAAGGCAGCAUACUGGACUGUAACUGACGUUGAGGCUCGAAAGCGUGGGGAGCAAACAGGAUUAGAUACCCCAGUAGUC